UGCCACAGCCAUUUAUCCAUGCAGCUCAAGACCGGUUACUCACUGAAGCUAAGCAGGGCUGAGCCUGGUCAGUAACUGGAUGGGAGACCACAUGGGAAAAACUAGGUUGCUGUUGGAA
Ribosomal RNA from Danio rerio (zebrafish), 118 nucleotides. The record is from Ensembl. Lineage: Eukaryota; Metazoa; Chordata; Actinopteri; Cypriniformes; Danionidae.